This 825-nucleotide ribosomal RNA is filed under the name Triticum aestivum (bread wheat). RNAcentral describes it as "partial small subunit ribosomal RNA". Lineage: Eukaryota; Viridiplantae; Streptophyta; Magnoliopsida; Poales; Poaceae. The record is from RNAcentral.
AUGUAUGAUGGAUCUGCUGUGGCAUGCUAUGAUCAAUUGCGUUUAACUAAACGAAACUUUCAUGACCUUUGCACCAUGUUAAGGGAGAGAUGUGGCCUUUGUGAUAGUGUAUAUGUGACAGUGGAAGAGAAAGUUGCAAUGUUCUUGCUUGUAAUUGGUCAUAGUAAUAAGAUGAGGAUGUUGCGUGGCACCUACAAGCGUUCUUUAUGGACCAUUAGCACACACUUCUCUGCUGUCCUAAACGCCCUACUCUCUCUACAUGGGGAGUUCAUUAAGUUACGUUCCUCUACCGCUCAAGCUCCUGAUGAUUACAAAUGGAAGUGGUUUGGUAAUGCACUUGGAGCACUAGAUGGUUGUCAUAUUGACGUGCUUGUUGAUGUGGCUGACCAAGGAAGGUAUAGGAACAGAAAGCAAGCCAUUACCACUAACAUGCUAGGUGUUGUUGAUUGGAACAUGAAGUUUAUUUUUGUGUUACCUAGCUGGGAGGGUUCAGUUUCAGAUUCGAGAGUUUUGCGUGAUGCAAUGAGGGCGAACCGCCAUGAUUCAUUUGUUGUGCCUAAGGGGAAAUAUUAUUUAGUUGAUGCUGGUUAUACCAAUGGAGAAGGAUUUCUAGCUCCAUUCAGGUCCACUCGGUAUCAUCUAAAAGAAUGGGCUGCAAGUGUACAACAGCCUCAAAUAGCUAAAGAGUUAUAUAAUUUGCGUCAUUCUCGUGCUAGGAAUGUAGUGGAGCGAACAUUUGGCUUGUUCAAGAAAAAAUGGGCUAUCUUGCGUUCCCAAACCUUCUUUGACAUAAAGGAUCAGAUUCGAAUUAUUAGUGCUUGUUGA